RNAcentral lists this non-coding RNA (45 nucleotides) under Schistosoma mansoni. Lineage: Eukaryota; Metazoa; Platyhelminthes; Trematoda; Strigeidida; Schistosomatidae. The record is from RNAcentral.
AUUCAGCUGAAGAAUCCCAAAUAGAACGAAACACGCGUCCUCGAU